GAGAGAGUUCAAGAGUACGUGAAACCGUUCAGGGGUAAACCUGAGAAACCCAAAAGAUCGAAUGGGGAGAUUCAUCGUCAGCGGCUCUGGCUUCCGUGCGGCUCGCGAUGGCAGGGACCUCGGUCUCGCGUCACGCGUCCGCUGCGGUAUGUCCUGGUGCCGUCGGCGUGCACUUCUCCCCUAGUAGGACGUCGCGACCCGUUGGGUGUCGGCCUACGGCCCGGUCGGUCGACUGUCGCGUCGCGUUCACCCGCGCACGCGGCAGACCACCGGUCGCCCGGCCGACUGCCCGGCGGUAUAGAUCGCUAUUAAACACGGUAUUGGGCCGCAUCAAGUGCGUUCUGGCUCGCCGGCAGGCUCGUCUCGCUCGGAUUUACGGACCUAGCGCCGUUGCCGGGCGCUUGGCGUGGCCGUUAGUCGACGAUGUCCUCGGACUGGCUCUUGCAUUCGAACGAAUAUACCGGUCG
RNAcentral lists this ribosomal RNA (467 nucleotides) under Eupelmus impennis. Its description in RNAcentral is "eukaryotic LSU rRNA". The record is from RNAcentral. Lineage: Eukaryota; Metazoa; Arthropoda; Insecta; Hymenoptera; Eupelmidae.